Molecule: non-coding RNA, 4685 nt
Organism: Sus scrofa (pig)
Lineage: Eukaryota; Metazoa; Chordata; Mammalia; Artiodactyla; Suidae
Source: RefSeq, a predicted model, not a curated record
GAGCCUCCAUGUGCCGCAGGGUGGCCCUUUUAAAGAAAAAACAGGAAAAAAAAAUCCUAUGCAACUUGCUUUAAUGAUCUUAAGCUAAAUUUUCUGGAUGACUUGCUGCAGCUCCCAUAUCAGCACUUGGUGCUUCACCUUGAACUUUUAUGUUAGAGAAAUGUCUUAUGUUAUCGAAAUGACUUCUUUCCUUAAACCCCAGAAACCAACCUCUGCUAGCUUCAAAUUUUUAUUCUGCUGCUUCCUCACCACUCUCACCCUUCAAAGAAUUGAAGAGCAUUAGGGCCUUGCCCUGGAUUAGGUUUUGGUUUAAACCAGCCACAACAUUUCCUUAAUCUUCUAUCCAGACCACUACACUUUCCCCAAAUCAUCAAUAAAGCUCUUUCGCUUUUGUGUCAUUUGUGUUCAUUGGAGUAGCACUUAAUUUCCUUCAAUAAAUUUUCCUUUGUAUUUACAACUUGGCUAACAGUUGGACCAUAAGCUAGGUCUCUUAAGUCAGUCUUGGCUUUCAACAUGCCUGCCUCACUAAGCUUCAUCAUUGCUAGCUUUUGAUUCAAAGUAAAAGAUGUACAACUCUUCAUUUGAACACUUAGGCCAAUUAAUAAUCUUAUAAUGUCUUUUAAUUUCAAUGGGUCUCAGAACACGGAGGCCUGAGAAGAGGAAGAGAAAUUGGGGAACAGCAGGAAUAAAGGCACACCUUGGAAAAGAUACUGUAUAGGAAUGGAACUUUCCUUUGUUUGUCCAGAUAUCACUCUGAAUUCAGCAGAGCCCACAGGGGAGUCGGGUGAUCCUCAUCUCCAUCAGUCUGGACACGUUCCCCACCAACCACAAAGUCUGACAUUCAUCCUGCUUGAGAAACCAGGACCUAGCAACCACGCCACUUUCUAAACUCUGCACAACUGGUGUUCCUCCAAGGCGGACUCUUUUGCCAAUAACUUGACUUGUAUUAUUUUUAGUGAAAUGCCAUGUAGCAAGCUGCUCCUAAAAUAUUUCCAGUCUGGAAUGAUGUAAAAGACAAAAAUCAAAAAAGAAAACUGGGAGUGGAGGGCAACAGUGGAAAGAGAAGGAGAAUAAUGAAAGAGCACAGGCUUUGGAACCAGCACAGUGUGUGUGAGUUCUGCCUAUGUGCUAAAUGUGUGACUUCAGGAAGUGAGUUAUCUGUGGCCUCAGUUUCCUCAUCUGUAGCAUCAUCUCAAGCAUUCAUUAACCUUAUUUUUACUAUUAGAAGGUCCAGUGCUCUUCAGAUGCCUAUAGCAACAUGAUUCCAUGGUAUUUUCAAGAGAACCAAGGUACCAUAUUAAUAGUCAGUCAUGGUCACAAACCGUUAAAGGAGGGUUUUUAAACUUGAGUAUUUCAAGUUGAAUUACUCUCAACUAUUGUUUGUAUUAGGGAACAUUCAAUCAGAAGUAGAAAUAUUGUGUGUGUGCACAUACACAUCACAUGCAUGUGUGUGGACAGAAACAGACAAAGAUACUUGACAUAGAGAGUUCACUGUAUGUACCUGUGGGAUCUGGUUCAUCAGUCUAUGUAAACCUUUCUCUUCCCAUCUGACACUGGAGCUUGAAGCCAGAACAGGCCAUCAGGAAGGGACAGUGGAUGGAGGGUGAGGGGAGAGCAAGGACAGUCUAGAACCCACAAAUAUGAGCUGAAGCCCUCAAGGACAGACCAAGACUUACCUCAGUUCUCCCUACCCCUGUCCUACAGCAGUGGGGCCCCUCAGUCAUGGGACACACAGGCAGUCCGGGAGUCAGAUAAGCUAAAGGCAAGCCACAGGAGAAGGUAGGCAGUUGUAGCUGCACCUGCAGCUUCAUUGCCCACAAGGUGGGUGAGAAAGCAAAUUGAUGACAAUGUACAUAAACUAUAAGAUGAUGGUUGCCUCGCUUUGCCCUCCAAAUAUCCCACUAAAAUCUCUUCUGUGGCCACCCUCAAAGGAGAGGGGAUUCUGGGAAAUGUCAUUCUGCUGAGUCAAUUGUCAGCACUUUACAAAACCACUGGAGUGUUAUUAUUACCAUAGGUGUUUACUAACCUGACAUGUGCCCAGCACAGUACCAACUGCUUUACCUUACUUAUUUCAUCUCUUUUCACACCACCCCACAAGUCUGUCUAUCACAGGUGAGGAAACUGAGGCCAAGAAUUCUUUUUGGGUAACUUGACCAAAGUCAAAUGAGAUUUAUUUAUAAGUGAUGCACAGCUAAGUUUUGGAGCUUGUGUCUAUAGAAAUGAGAUUUUCUAUAGCAAUAGAAUUCCUCUCUAAAACAGCUUAGAUGAUAACUGCAACAGAUAAUCAUCAUGAAGCUCCUAUUCCUGCUCUUGUUAAAAAUAAUAGGGCAAGACUGGCCCAAGGCACUGAUGUACCUGGCAAUAUUACACUCCUGGAAUCCUAUGAAAGUGAAGUAAUUUUCAGGUACUGUUUAUAUAUAAAUAUUACUUUCUUAAGAAUAACAUAGGUAUCAACACCAAAUGGAAUUAUUCCUUAGGCUCAUUUCAUUUCAAAAGCUAUACAUUAAUUUUAGUUCUAAAUGUAAGUCAUAGCAAGUAUACCUUCAUCUUAUAUGUGGGCAUGCAAUUUGCAUCCAUUUGCACUGAAUUUAAUAAGAAUUUCAAUGGAAAUCCUCACUGCCACUUAGUUAAGAGUAAUCAAUACUGGGAGGCUGAGAUCCCUGCAGGCAACCAUGGGAUGCCACCCACACAGGCAAAAAUCCCAACUUACUAGUUAAAAGCUGGCUAUAAAGAAAAUGUGAGGUAAUUGCUGAGUAAGAUACAGAUCCUGCUGCAGAUAAUAGCUAUAAAAUCUGGACAUAAUGUAAAAAAUAGGUAGCUAAAGUCACUAGAGUGAAGUGAUAUAACCUGAUUCUUACGGGGAGUUCAUGCUCAUAAGAAAGGAGUUCGAAGUGAGUUUCCAUUAUUGUCCUUUUAGCCUGGGACCAGGUAUGGUCAGCAGGGAUUCAGUGACAGUGGGAGCACAGGUGAAAAAGCUGCAGUCUUUUUGUCCUUGGAAUUCAAAAGACCAAAUCUGAGGAAACCAGUCACUGAAGAGAUAUGGGGAGGCUUAUCAAAAAAUGGUCAGAGAGGGAUUCUCCAAAUUCUGUUUGGCUCUUGCUCUUAAUCUUAAACCAUUCUUGUGCAGAACAGAUGCCGAACAGAUUGGCUAGGACAAGAGAGAUUAACUGAGUUUGGACCUGCUACAUUUAAAAAAAAAGUUUUUACUUCUAGCACAAACCAAGACAAUUUCUUAAACCACACUUAUCAGAGAAAAGUAUUAGAAUCCACUCUUUACAACUUUCAUAAUGUCCUGGUUAUAAUCAACAUUACCUGACUGAAGAAGAAAAAUGGAAUGCAUGUUUUUCUUUUUAAAAACAAGACUAUUUUUUUCAAACAGUGAGUGUGUUAGUGGUACAAUGGUAUUUUUUUUUUAAACCCAUACUCUUAAGAGAAAAAAAAAUUAGCCCUAACCUAAUCCAGAUGUUGGAUUUAGCAUACAAGGAUUUUAAAGCAGCGAUUAUGACUCUGAAGUUCUUUAUAAAAAAAAAAUGUUCAUAAUGAAAGGAUAGGAAAUUUCAGCAAAGAUAUUAAAUCAACAAAAAGAACUAAAUGGAAAUUCAAAAACUGAAAAAUACAAUAUCUGAAAUAAAAAAUUAUCAGAUGGACUCCAGAGCAGCGUGGCAAUGACAGAGAAAAGGGUAAGUGAACCUGAAGUUAGAUCAACAGAAAUUAUGCAAAAUAUCAGAAAAAAAGGAUUUUUAAAUGAGCAAAACUUCAAAGACCUAGUAAAAUUGUAUCGAAUGGUCUAAUAUACGUGUAACUAGAACCCCAUAAGGAAAGAAGAGGGAAAACCAGGCAAGAAAAACAAAAUUUGAAAAAAAUAAUGGCCAAAUUUAAUGAAAUAUAAAUGUACAACUCAGUGUGCUCAAAAAAUGCCAAGCAUGACAAACAUCAGGAGGCUUUGUUUUGGAACAUCAUAAUCAAACUAUUGAAACCUGAAUAUAAAGAGCCAAACUUGAAAAAGCAAGAGAAGAAUGACAGUUGACACACAGGGAACAAUCACUGGGUAUCAGGCAGGACAUUCUGAGGGCUUGGAGAUCACCUCACAGGAGCCAAGGUCAAAGGCCAGACUUCUCCUAGAGCAAGACUAAGUCAUUACUGCUCAUUGUCUAAAGCCAAAAUAUAAUGUUGUGUUGACAAUGGAUAUAGAUGCAGCCUAGAAGAAAAAGAUAUAUAUCUAUGGGUUGAAAGAGUGCUGUGUUUUAUAUGAAAUAGUAUAAGGUUAGUUGUAAUGUGGUCUAUAAAAAGCUCAAGAUAUACUGUAAUCCAUAAAACAGCCAAAAGAUGCAAAGAAGCACAGUUUAAAAACUGGUGUUAACAUUCAAAUGAAGUUCUAAAAAACUUCAAAUAAUCCCAAAAAUACAAAGAGAAAUAAACCCUAUUUUCAAGAGCAUCAGAAAAAUAAAAUAUUUAGGAAUGAAUGCAAUAAUAGUUAGACCUAUACAGUAAGAAUUAGAGAACAUUUUGAAGGAAAUUAAAGAUCUAAAAGAAUGAAAGGUUUCCAUAUUCAGCAAUUAGAAGACUUAUUAAGAUCCUUACCCAAAUUAUCUAUAGAUUCAAUGUAAUUUCAUUGAAAAUCCCAUCAGACUUAUUUUGAAGAUACUUUUAUUAUUAUUUUUUUUAGGGCUGUGGCAUAUGGAGGG